GUAGUCCUAGCCGUAAACGGUGCGUAUUUGCUGUAAAAGGAAUCGACCCCUUUUGUGGCGUAGCCAACGCGUUAAAUACGCCGCCUGGGAAGUACGGUCGCAAGAUUAAAACUCAAAGAAAUUGACGGGGGCCUGCACAAGCGGUGGAGUAUGUGGCUUAAUUCGAUGCAACGCGAAGAACCUUACCUGGCCUUGACAUGCAAGUAGUAGAACCAUGAAAGUGGGACGAGGUAGCAAUACCAGCUUGCACAGGUGCUGCAUGGCUGUCGUCAGCUCGUGUCGUGAGAUGUUGGGUUAAGUCCCGCAACGAGCGCAACCCUUGUGUCCUGUUGCCACUCGAACGAGAGUUCGAAGCACUCUGGACAGACUGCCUCGCUUAAACGAGGAGGAAGGUGGGGAUGACGUCAAGUCAGUAUGGCCCUUACGGCCAGGGCUGCACACGUACUACAAUGCCCGGCACAGAGGGAAGCGAGACCUUAAGGUGGAGCAAAUCCCAGAAAACCGGGCCCAGUUCAGAUUGUCGUCUGCAACUCGACGGCAUGAAGCUGGAAUCGCUAGUAAUGGCGCAUCAGCUACGGCGCCGUGAAUA
Molecule: ribosomal RNA, 589 nt
Filed under: uncultured bacterium
Lineage: Bacteria
Also listed under: 1 other name
Description: bacterial SSU rRNA
Rfam family: Bacterial small subunit ribosomal RNA
Source: RNAcentral